This 817-nucleotide ribosomal RNA is filed under the name Photobacterium phosphoreum. RNAcentral describes it as "bacterial LSU rRNA". It matches the Rfam family "Bacterial large subunit ribosomal RNA", at positions 393 to 1212 of the family's 2925-position model. The record is from RNAcentral. Lineage: Bacteria; Pseudomonadati; Pseudomonadota; Gammaproteobacteria; Vibrionales; Vibrionaceae.
GCAUUAAUAGUGAAAUCGAGUAGGACGGGACACGUGAUAUCCUGUUUGAACAUGGGGGGACCAUCCUCCAAGGCUAAAUACUCCUGACUGACCGAUAGUGAACCAGUACCGUGAGGGAAAGGCGAAAAGAACCCCUGUGAGGGGAGUGAAAUAGAACCUGAAACCGUGUACGUACAAGCAGUAGGAGCCCACUUGUUGGGUGACUGCGUACCUUUUGUAUAAUGGGUCAGCGACUUAAUUUUAGUAGCAAGGUUAACCGUUUAGGGGAGCCGUAGGGAAACCGAGUCUUAACUGGGCGUCAUAGUUGCUAGGAUUAGACCCGAAACCGAGUGAUCUAGCCAUGGGCAGGUUGAAGGUGAGGUAACACUUACUGGAGGACCGAACCGACUAAUGUUGAAAAAUUAGCGGAUGACUUGUGGCUAGGGGUGAAAGGCCAAUCAAACUCGGAGAUAGCUGGUUCUCCCCGAAAGCUAUUUAGGUAGCGCCUCGGACGAAUACUACUGGGGGUAGAGCACUGUUAAGGCUAGGGGGUCAUCCCGACUUACCAACCCUUUGCAAACUCCGAAUACCAGUAAGUAAUAUCCGGGAGACACACGGCGGGUGCUAACGUCCGUCGUGAAGAGGGAAACAACCCAGACCGCCAGCUAAGGUCCCAAAGUUAUAGCUAAGUGGGAAACGAUGUGGGAAGGCUCAGACAGCCAGGAUGUUGGCUUAGAAGCAGCCAUCAUUUAAAGAAAGCGUAAUAGCUCACUGGUCGAGUCGGCCUGCGCGGAAGAUUUAACGGGGCUAAGCUAUACACCGAAGCUGCGGCAAUAUG